This 1278-nucleotide long non-coding RNA is filed under the name Oreochromis niloticus (Nile tilapia). Its description in RNAcentral is "lncRNA (ENSONIG00000035359.1)". The record is from RNAcentral. Lineage: Eukaryota; Metazoa; Chordata; Actinopteri; Cichliformes; Cichlidae.
CAAACUCAAAAACCAUGGGUCAACGACCCAGGCCUCCUAACAGUACCCCCCCCCUUAAGGGCUGGCUCCCAGACAGCCCAAACCAGAAUCACCAAAAACGAAAAACAACCCAACCAGGGCGGGCGGUGGGGAAACAGGACGGAGGGCUCGAAACAAACCAAACAAGGAGCCAGAAACAAAAAAAAGCGCAAACAACGGAGCCCAGAAAGCAACAUAACAAAACUCACAGGCGGCCAGGAAAAACAAUUCACACAAAGUUCAGGAGGCCGGCCGGGCGGGAGGCACCGGCGGCGACGGAGCAGGUCAGGAGGCCGGCCGGGCGGGAGGCACCGGCGGCGACGGAGCAGGUCAGGAGGCCGUCCACGACGGCGAGGAUGCCCAAUCAUCGGCCCGGAAGGAGGCCGUCCACGACGGCGAGGACGCCCAAUCAUCGGCUUGGAAAGCGGCCAGAAAGGACGAGCAGGCCGGACAGGACGUGCAGGACGAGCAGGCCGGACAGGACGAGCAGGACGAGGACGUGUAAUCAGAGGCCUGGAAGGAGGCUGGCGCUGUAGAGGCGCAGGAUGUGGUCUGGACGUCGGCGUGGCCGAGGCAGGACCAAGCGAAGCUGUAGCCGAGGCCAGACCGGGCGAAGGCGAAGACUCGGAGGCCAGACCGGGCGAAGGCGAAGACUCGGAGGCCGGACCGGGCGAAGGCGAAGACUCGGAGGCCGGACCGGGCGAAGGCGAAGACUCGGAGGCCGGACCGGGCGAAGGCGAAGACUCGGAGGCCGGACCGGGCGAGGGUGACGCUGCAGGCAACGCUGAAGCUGGACCAGACGACGGCGGAGCUGAAGCCGUAGCUGGACCAGGCGAGGACGAAGCCGUAGCCGGACCAGGCGAGGACGAAGCCGUAGCCGUAGCUGGACCAGGCGAGGACGAAGCCGUAGCCGUAGCUGGACCAGGUGACGGCGUGGGAGCCGCAGGUGGUGGCGAUGAAGGCUGGACGGGCCCCUCGGACCCUCCAGCGGGAACAGAAGGCUGGACGGGCCCCUCGGACCUCCAGCGGGAACAGAAGGCUGGACGGGCCCCCGGACCCUCCAGCGGGGGCAGAAGGCUGGACGGGCCGCUCGGACCCUCCAGCGGAGGCAAACAAAGGCUGGCGCGGUUCUCCAGAACCCCCAGCGGGAACAGAAGGCUGGACGGACCCCUCAGACCCUCCAGCGGAGACGAACAAAGGCUGGAGCGGUCCCUCGGACCCUCCAGCGGGAAUAAACGGCUGAGUAAACGACUGAGGUGA